RNAcentral lists this unclassified non-coding RNA (461 nucleotides) under uncultured Entrophospora. Its description in RNAcentral is "SSU rRNA". It matches the Rfam family "Eukaryotic small subunit ribosomal RNA", at positions 569 to 1035 of the family's 1831-position model. Lineage: Eukaryota; Fungi; Glomeromycota; Glomeromycetes; Entrophosporales; Entrophosporaceae. The record is from RNAcentral.
AGCAGCCGCGGUAAUUCCAGCUCCAAUAGCGUAUAUUAAAGUUGUUGCAGUUAAAAAGCUCGUAGUUGAAUUUCGGGACCAUCAUGUUGGUCGUGCCUCGGUACGUACUGGCAUUGUUGGUUUCUCCCUUCUGACGAACCAUGAUGUCAUUUAUUUGGUGUCGUGGGAAAUCAGGACUGUUACUUUGAAAAAAUUAGAGUGUUUAAAGCAGGCUCACGCUUGAAUACAUUAGCAUGGAAUAAUGAAAUAGGACGUUUGAUUCUAUUUUGUUGGUUUCUAGGAUCGACGUAAUGAUUAAUAGGGAUAGUUGGGGGCAUUAGUAUUCAAUUGUCAGAGGUGAAAUUCUUGGAUUUAUUGAAGACUAACUACUGCGAAAGCAUUUGCCAAGGAUGUUUUCAUUAAUCAAGAACGAAAGUUAGGGGAUCGAAGACGAUCAGAUACCGUCGUAGUCUUAACCAUAA